ACAUUGGUGGUUCAGUGGUAGAACUCUCACCUUCCAUGAGGGAGACCCAGGUUUGACUUCCAACCAAUGUA
Molecule: transfer RNA, 71 nt
Filed under: Loxodonta africana (African savanna elephant)
Lineage: Eukaryota; Metazoa; Chordata; Mammalia; Proboscidea; Elephantidae
Rfam family: tRNA
About the family: Transfer RNA (tRNA) molecules are approximately 80 nucleotides in length. Their secondary structure includes four short double-helical elements and three loops (D, anti-codon, and T loops). Further hydrogen bonds mediate the characteristic L-shaped molecular structure. tRNAs have two regions of fundamental functional importance: the anti-codon, which is responsible for specific mRNA codon recognition, and the 3' end, to which the tRNAs corresponding amino acid is attached (by aminoacyl-tRNA synthetases). tRNAs cope with the degeneracy of the genetic code in two manners: having more than one tRNA (with a specific anti-codon) for a particular amino acid; and 'wobble' base-pairing, i.e. permitting non-standard base-pairing at the 3rd anti-codon position.
Source: Rfam by way of RNAcentral